GCGACGGCCGGUUCCGUUGCAGGUGAGCCCUCUCACAGAUCGACCGAUCGGCGGGUCAGCGAUCUUCCAAGCUGGUCGUGCGGGUUCGAUUCCCGUCGCCCGCUCCA
Molecule: transfer RNA, 107 nt
Filed under: Spinactinospora alkalitolerans
Lineage: Bacteria; Bacillati; Actinomycetota; Actinomycetes; Streptosporangiales; Nocardiopsidaceae
Description: tRNA-OTHER
Source: RNAcentral